AGAAAGAAUUGCUUUCCACAACCUUUACAAAGCUGUAUUCUUUGCUCUAUUUGUUCCAUUCUUGUUUAUAUACCUUUCCCCACUUGAUUUCUUCAAUCUAUAAACUUAAUCCCAGAGAGCAAAAAAAACCAAACCCAAUUGAACUUUCAAGCUCACAACCUUUCUAAUUAUGUCAUUGAGCCCUCCUCGUGUCCGAAACAAUGGCAACCCAACAACCUACCCUCUCUACUGGUGCUACCAAUGCCACAGAAUGGUCAGGGUUGCUUCCACGAACCCAUCAGAGGUUAUUUGUCCACGUUGUUUGGGGCAGUUCCUCAUUGAGAUGAACGUAGCUAGGCCUAGACUAGUCAUUGAUCACACUGAUUUUGAUCCCUCCCCGGAAGCCCGUCUACUUGAGGCCCUUGCACUCAUGCUUGACCCCCCAAUUAGGCGCUUCCACCAUGGUUUACAUGACCCGGAAGCUGAAUCCCAAGGCCAUCCUUUGCCUCCUCCCCCAGGUCUUGAAACAAGACCCCGGACACGUUCAAGACGGCAAUGGAGAGAGAGCCCGGAUACAGAACCUGAAAUCCAAGGCCAACCUCGGACAUGGAUUAUUCUUAGACCUUUAGAUCCUGCUGACCCUUUUAGACCAAUACUUCAACCACAACCAGCACCUUCAGGAUUUGAUCAUAGAAAUUUCUUUUUCGGGCCAGGACUAAACGAAAUGAUUGAGCAGCUGACUGAAAAUGAUAGGCCAGGGCCUUCUCCAGCACCAGAAGAAGCAAUCAAUGCAAUACCAACUGUGAAAAUCACAGAAGAGCAUUUGAAAAAUGACUCACAAUAUUGCCCUGUGUGCAAGGAAGAGUUUAAUGUUGGAGGAGAAGCUAGGGAAAUGCCUUGCAAGCAUAUAUAUCACUCUGAUUGUAUUGUUCCUUGGCUAAGGCUUCAUAACUCUUGUCCUGUUUGCCGGCAUGAGCUGCCAGUGCCUUCUGAUUCUGAAGAUCAGCAGCAGGUAAGAGUAAGAGUAGAGAAUGAUUCUGAGGAUUCUCAAGUUGGAGGACAGAGUAGGAGACGUAGGAGUUUGAGGUGGAGCCAUUUGACAUCUUUGUGGCCAUUUCGACCAAGAUAUCGACAGAUUAAUCCACAUGCUGAUCAUGACAUUAAUAUUGGUACUUCUCGAAGGGUCAACUCAUGUUGGGAUUCUUGCCAUAUUCUUUAGCCCAAAAUGUUGCUGCUUAUGCUGGAAGCAAUUGAUAUGGACUUUGUGGUUAAACUGUUUUUACUAGGAAUGAGCAAGCCGGUUUCGGUAGAUUAUAAAACCUUUCAACAUUCUGAAACAUUGAAUAUCACAGCUGUUAUAUAUAGCUUGCUCAUAAUUCAUACACCAUGACAGCCGAAUAAUGGAUGGGAGGAAAUCUGAGACAUGUCGCCCGAACAUGCUACUUCUAUUGCUUUGUGUUUAUUAUUUGUCAUGAUAACGCCACUGCAGUAAAAUCUGCACGUACAGGGGGCAUUGUCCGCAAUACUACGUCUUUACCAAGUAAAUGAAAAAAAUAUAUAUACACUUAAACGUGUGACAGUGUUUUUAUGUACAUGAAUUUACGUAAGUUGCGUUAAUGUGAUACUUCGAAAAAAGUGUCAUUCUCAUAUGCAAGGACUCAUCUGAUGACAAAGACAAUAGGGCUGCCUAAGCCAUUGGAUUGCA
Quercus robur (English oak) is the source of this 1684-nucleotide RNA transcript. It is a transcript of the gene named E3 ubiquitin-protein ligase RZF1, with no coding region annotated. Lineage: Eukaryota; Viridiplantae; Streptophyta; Magnoliopsida; Fagales; Fagaceae. The record is from RefSeq and is a predicted model, not a curated record. The transcript is spliced from 3 exons.